This 367-nucleotide ribosomal RNA is filed under the name uncultured organism. Its description in RNAcentral is "bacterial SSU rRNA". It matches the Rfam family "Bacterial small subunit ribosomal RNA", at positions 526 to 896 of the family's 1533-position model. The record is from RNAcentral.
CGGAGGAUCCAAGCGUUAUCCGGAACCAUUGGGUUUAAAGGGUCCGUAGGCGGUUUAUUAAGUCAGUGGUGAAAUCUGGUCGCUCAACGAUCAAACGGCCAUUGAUACUGAUAGACUUGAAUUAUUGGGAAGUAACUAGAAUAUGUAGUGUAGCGGUGAAAUGCUUAGAUAUUACAUGGAAUACCAAUUGCGAAGGCAGGUUACUACCAAUGGAUUGACGCUGAUGGACGAAAGCGUGGGGAGCGAACAGGAUUAGAUACCCUGGUAGUCCACGCCGUAAACGAUGGAUACUAGCUGUUCGGAGCAAUCUGAGUGGCUAAGCGAAAGUGAUAAGUAUCCCACCUGGGGACGUACGUUCGCAAGAAUG